UUUGCAUGACAAGUGCUAGGGUUUGUGGAAAACUGCAAACAACUGUGAGGCAGUUACACAUCAUUAUGACUUCUGUCGCCAUUGUCAUAGUUUGUUACUGGUAGCUGACUGACUUGCUGGCAUUGUAUAACAUGUGCUGUAUGAGUUCUUCAGUGACCUUGUAUAUUCCUACAUUGACCUCAUUUUAUAACAAAGUUUUCAGUUAUGCCAAGAUUUCAUAAAACUUAGCAACAGAAUAAGUGGAAAACUUAGAUUUGGUAAUGCUUUGGAGUCCCUUUAUUAAAGGAAAAUAGCUAAAAUGUAAUGGAGUGACAAAACUCAGUACUUGCAUCUGAAGCACAGGAAAGGGAGGACUUAGGACCAUUGUUUAUCAUGCCCAGUUCUGGAAAUGAUAGAGGAGGAAUCCUAGAUAUCAUUUUAGUUAAAGGUCUGAAGAGCAGCUGGAGAGAGUAACUUGGAAGUCAGAAACAUCCCUUGACACUUCUGGAAUUCCAGAGUCCACAGCAAAGAUGUAAAGAACAAACCCAAGACAUGCCUACUAAGCCCAACCUGUACUUUCUAGGUGUGCUGCAUGCUGGAGCUGUGAUCAUUAUAGUCUUGUGCAGGUUUUGUUUUAUAGGUAUAUUCACCCUCAUCAACCGCAAAUUCUUUCUGACAUUCCUACCCUGUUCCAUCCCAGUCCAAAUCCAGCUUGCUGUAAACUCUGCUGAAAAAUCUCCUUUCCAAAUUAGAAUAAGUUCUACAAGUUGUUAGCAGUCACCUUAGUUGCAUGAAGAAUUUUAACAAUAUUUGUGUUUAUUUCUGGCUUAACUAUGCCACUUCCUAAAACUCCAUCUUUGCAAAUGAAAGAGUAAAAUAUUACUUAACAUGCUCUGUGUAUCACAGUAAGAAGCCCUUUAAGCCUGUUCUUAGAUCCUCUCAUGAAAGAGUUGGCUCUAUAGAUCUAAAAUUCCUUCUAAUGUACAUUACCAGCUUAAGGACUUACACAGCCCCAGGCACCAAGAAUUUGCUGUCUGCAUCAUAACUUCCAGAGUGAUUUCCAGUAUCACCAGUGCAGCACAAAAUCUUUCACAGCUUAAUGAAAACACAGGACAUUCCUGAUGGAAGACAGAGCAGCCACUCGGUAAAAUGUAUU
Molecule: long non-coding RNA, 1135 nt
Organism: Cyanistes caeruleus (blue tit)
Lineage: Eukaryota; Metazoa; Chordata; Aves; Passeriformes; Paridae
Source: RefSeq, a predicted model, not a curated record